RNAcentral lists this ribosomal RNA (421 nucleotides) under uncultured bacterium. RNAcentral describes it as "partial 16S ribosomal RNA". It matches the Rfam family "Bacterial small subunit ribosomal RNA", at positions 361 to 774 of the family's 1533-position model. The record is from RNAcentral.
AUCUUCCGCAAUGGACGAAAGUCUGACGGAGCAACGCCGCGGGAGUGAUGAAGGUNUUNNGAUCGNANAACUCUGUUGUUAGGNNNNNACAAGUACCGGNGUAACUGCCGGUACCUUGACGGUAACUGACGCGAAAGCCACGGCUAACUACGGGCCAGCAGCCCAUGUAAUCAGUAGGUGGCAAUGGUUGUCCUGAUUUAUUUGGCGUAAACCGCCCCAAGGGUGUUUUUUAAAUCUGAUGUGAAAUCUUACGGCUUAACUGUAAGCGGUCAUUGGAAACUGGGAGACUUAAGUGCAGAAGAGGAGAGUGGAAUUCCAUGUGUAGCGGUGAAAUGCGUAGAGAUAUGGAGGAACACCAGUGGCGAAGGCGACUCUCUGGUCUGUAACUGACGCUGAGGCGCGAAAGCGUGGGGAUCAAACA